Molecule: long non-coding RNA, 611 nt
Filed under: Phoenix dactylifera (date palm)
Lineage: Eukaryota; Viridiplantae; Streptophyta; Magnoliopsida; Arecales; Arecaceae
Description: long non-coding RNA (PDAC_LNC015747)
Source: RNAcentral
UUGCCCAAGGUGACAAGCCAAGAGGGGGGGGUGAAUUGGUUUCUUUUAAUUUUAACUAUCUUACUUGUGUUAAAUGAUGAGUUAGUGAACUUAAACAAAUCGUAAUGCAAACAACAAGAAGUAUAGUGGUUCGGUGCUCUCCUUAGCACCUACGUCCACUCCCCAAGCGACCCCUUGGAAAUUCACUAUAAUCCCGUGGAUUACAGUUGGAUUGUUUUCCGGGCUCACAAUCCAAAAAUCUUUACACUUUGGUUUUCCGGGUUCACGAAAAACCUAUGUUGGUUUUGCGGGCUCACCAACGAACCUAUGUUGGUUUUACGGGCUCACCAACGAACCUUUACAAUUGGUUUUUCGGAUUCACCAAUCAACCUAUGUUGGUUUUAUGGGCUCACCAACGAACCUAUGUUGGUUUUAUUGGCUCACCAACGAACCUUUACAAUUGGUUUUCCGGGUUCACCAAUCAACCUAUUCCGUUGGUUUUGCGGGCUAACCAACCAACCUUUACAAGUAGUUUAAUAAACAAAGAAAGAAGAUUUAAACUCCUAGAUGAGCAAAUAUAACAAUAUAAUCUACAAAGAAGAGUUUAGAGAAUAGUUAUCGCUUGAUAUGAC